Molecule: ribosomal RNA, 466 nt
Filed under: uncultured bacterium
Lineage: Bacteria
Description: partial 16S ribosomal RNA
Rfam family: Bacterial small subunit ribosomal RNA
Source: RNAcentral
GACGAACGCUGGCGGCGUGCUUAACACAUGCAAGUCGAACGGAAAGGCCCUGCUUGCAGGGUACUCGAGUGGCGAACGGGUGAGUAACACGUGGGUGAUCUGCCCUGCACUUCGGGAUAAGCUUGGGAAACUGGGUCUAAUACCGGAUAGGAGCCAUCUUUAGUGUGGUGGUUGGAAAGUUUUUUCGGUGUAGGAUGAGCUCGCGGCCUAUCAGCUUGUUGGUGGGGUAAUGGCCUACCAAGGCGGCGACGGGUAGCCGGCCUGGGAGGGUGUACGGCCACAUUGGGACUGAGAUACGGCCCAGACUCCUACGGGAGGCAGCAGUGGGGAAUAUUGCACAAUGGGCGCAAGCCUGAUGCAGCGACGCCGCGUGGGGGAUGAAGGCCUUCGGGUUGUAAACUCCUUUCGCUAGGGACGAAGCUUUUUUGUGACGGUACCUAGAUAAGAAGCACCGGCUAACUACGUG